Molecule: long non-coding RNA, 250 nt
Organism: Neomonachus schauinslandi (Hawaiian monk seal)
Lineage: Eukaryota; Metazoa; Chordata; Mammalia; Carnivora; Phocidae
Exons: 3
Source: RefSeq, a predicted model, not a curated record
CGGGAUGAGCCAGGAGAACAGGAUUUUUCAGGGAUUUUUCUCUUACGUCCGACGUUCUUCACUCUAAUUGAAGCCCUGAGGAAGAGAAGCAAAUAGCGGAACAUUGCUUGAACAAAUACCCAGCUACUAAAAUGAAUACAGAAAAUGACCUUUUCAGCAUGGAAACGAACCUCUCGCUGUGGUGCCAUUUCCUGUCACUCGGCUCAAGGCAAAAGCUACUUUCAUUGUUUUACCACAUCAUUUCCCGACA